RNAcentral lists this ribosomal RNA (161 nucleotides) under uncultured bacterium. RNAcentral's name for it is "partial 16S ribosomal RNA". It matches the Rfam family "Bacterial small subunit ribosomal RNA", at positions 359 to 512 of the family's 1533-position model. The record is from RNAcentral.
UUAUUGUGACAAUGGGGCGAAAGCCUGAUCCAGCCAUGCCGCGUGUGUGAAGAAGGUCUUCGGAUUGUAAAGCACUUUAAGUUGGGAGGAAGGGCAGUAAGUUAAUACCUUGCUGUUUUGACGUUACCGACAGAAUAAGCACCGGCUAACUUCGUGCCAGC